CCCUUAGAUGUUCUGGGCCGCACGCGCGCUACACUGACGAAGUCAGCGAGCAUGUCCUACGCCGAUAGGUGCGGGGAAUCUUGUGAAACUUCGUCGUGCUGGGGAUUGAUUAUUGAAAUUAUUGAUCAUCAACGAGGAAUUCCUAGUAAGCGCAAGUCAGCAGCUUGCGUUGAUUACGUCCCUGCCCUUUGUACACACCGCCCGUCGCUACUACCGAUUGAAUGGUUUAGUGAGAUCUUCGGAUUGGUGCCACCGAGUCCAGCAAUGGACACGGUGAAUAUCGAAAAGUCGAUCAAACUUGAUCAUUUAGAGGAAGUAAAAGUCGUAACA
This 330-nucleotide ribosomal RNA is filed under the name uncultured eukaryote. RNAcentral describes it as "partial 18S ribosomal RNA". It matches the Rfam family "Eukaryotic small subunit ribosomal RNA", at positions 1470 to 1796 of the family's 1831-position model. The record is from RNAcentral.